This 497-nucleotide ribosomal RNA is filed under the name uncultured bacterium. Its description in RNAcentral is "partial 16S ribosomal RNA". It matches the Rfam family "Bacterial small subunit ribosomal RNA", at positions 28 to 507 of the family's 1533-position model. The record is from RNAcentral.
GAUGAACGCUGGCGGCGUGCCUAAUACAUGCAAGUCGAGCGAACGGACGAGAAGCUUGCUUCUCUGAUGUUAGCGGCGGACGGGUAAGUAACACGUGGAUAACCUACCUAUAAGACUGGGAUAACUUCGGGAAACCGGAGCUAAUACCGGAUAAUAUUUUGAACCGCAUGGUUCAAAAGUGAAAGACGGUCUUGCUGUCACUUAUAGAUGGAUCCGCGCUGCAUUAGCUAGUUGGUAAGGUAACGGCUUACCAAGGCAACGAUGCAUAGCCGACCUGAGGGGGUGAUCGGCCACACUGGAACUGAGACACGGUCCAGACUCCUACGGGAGGCAGCAGUAGGGAAUCUUCCGCAAUGGGCGAAAGCCUGACGGAGCAACGCCGCGUGAGUGAUGAAGGUCUUCGGAUCGUAAAACUCUGUUAUUAGGGAAGAACAUAUGUGUAAGUAACUGUGCACAUCUUGACGGUACCUAAUCAGAAAGCCACGGCUAACUACGUG